RNAcentral lists this ribosomal RNA (454 nucleotides) under uncultured Erysipelothrix sp. RNAcentral describes it as "bacterial SSU rRNA". It matches the Rfam family "Bacterial small subunit ribosomal RNA", at positions 923 to 1382 of the family's 1533-position model. The record is from RNAcentral. Lineage: Bacteria; Bacillati; Bacillota; Erysipelotrichia; Erysipelotrichales; Erysipelotrichaceae.
GCACAAGCGGUGGAUUAUGUUGUUAAUUUCGACGCAACGCGAAGAACCUUACCAGGCCUUGACAUACUCGGCAAAGCUCUAGAGAUAGAGUGGAGGUUAUCCGGGAUACAGGUGGUGCAUGGUUGUCGUCAGCUCGUGUCGUGAGAUGUUGGGUUAAGUCCCGCAACGAGCGCAACCCUUGUCUUUAGUUACCAUCAUUAAGUUGGGGACUCUAGAGAGACUGCCGGUGAUAAACCGGAGGAAGGUGGGGAUGACGUCAAAUCAUCAUGCCCCUUAUGGCCUGGGCUACAAACGUAAUACAAUGGCGUAUACAAAGGGAUGCGAAAGGGCGACCUGGAGCAAAACUCACAAAGUACGUCUCAGUUCAGAUUGGGGUCUGCAACUCGACUCCAUGAAGGCGGAAUCGCUAGUAAUCGCGGAUCAGCAUGCCGCGGUGAAUACGUUCUCGGGGUUU